Triticum urartu is the source of this 4215-nucleotide long non-coding RNA. RefSeq lists it as uncharacterized. Lineage: Eukaryota; Viridiplantae; Streptophyta; Magnoliopsida; Poales; Poaceae. The record is from RefSeq and is a predicted model, not a curated record.
UCGAGGGCGUCACAAGUUGGUAUCAGAGCCGACUGCCUGUAGGUAGACCCCUUUCCAACUCCUUGGCCGAAGUUGAGUCUAGAAACUGGAAACUGUUUUACUAACUUGGCAGUGUGGCUUACCGGCCUACGUCGCCAUUGGGUGGUAUUAGGAUCUUUUAUUUCUCGUCUAUACUCUGGGACUCUGAUCUCUCGUCUAUUCGGGUUAAACUUUUUACUAACUCUGACUCUAGGAUCUCGUAACCACUUCCUUCCGGAGAGUCCCUUCUCUACAGAUGAUCGCUUGCUUCGUCAGAAGAUUCUGCAGAUACUCCUCGAUGUUUCCCGAGACCCUGUGCCCACUGCUUUGCAGUUCCUGACCGCCGACAAUCCCCGUGAAUAAUAUCCUUGCCGCUUGUACCUUCACCCCUAGUUGAUCCUGUUAUUACAAGAUGCCCCUAGUACUCUCCGUUGUUUCGAGAACCCUUUGUGCCUUCUUCUUUGCAGCUUCUUUUGCAAUGCGGAUAAUUCACUUAACCGGGGUUCGUUCAUCCCCAGUUGUUCAUAUGCUUUCCUAAAUACUUGGAAAUACUAUCUGAUCUUCCAAAAAUCCUCAGCAGCCUAUUGUUGUUGGAAUUCUUGUUUGCUUGCAUUAUGGUUAAUUCCAUAUUUCUAGUAAUCUUCAUUGACAUCCUCUGUCACUAUUGUUUCGAGUCCCUUGAUCCAAUAUGUCGCGAAUGCUCGUAAUCCUCUAUCAGAUCCUAGCAUUCAUCCUUUCGGCUCAGACGUCACUCCAAAUAUGAGCAUGUUCUUGUCAAAUCAAACCUUGAUUGAUUGCCGAUCUUUAUCGAUUCAACUCAAUUAUCUUUUGAUCAGAGCCUCUGCUUCAGAUCUUCUGAUUUGAAAAUCGUAAUUCCUUUGUAUUCAAGCUUUGAAGUUAUCCAAUUAUAUCUAUAACCCGAUGCCUUUGCAUUCUUUCUUCUUCUGGGUGAGUAUCGAUACUCACAUCAGAUCUUUUAUGGACCGCCAUAUCCUUGGUUGGAUUAUUAUCCGACAAUGUCCUUCAUAUUCAUUAAACUUGUGAGUUUUGCCCUGACACAUAAUGCCUUUGGUAAAUUCUAUCAUCUGCUUUUGUCAACCAUGCUCUGCUUUCGAGCUGGUAUAUUUUAAUCCUGAAGUUAGUGAUAUAUGUUCCUAAGAUACCCCUACGGGUUGAACCUAUGUCUUCACUAAUCCGUGUGAACUCGAAAGAGAUGUGAGUCUUACUCUUCUGGUACUUCGCCAGACAAAUCCUCUGCACUACAAUUUCUUCGAAAAACGAGGAGUGAAUGAAAAGUUAUGCAUUGAAGAAGUGGGAGUCGACCUUGAACCUUGCGUUCAUGCCCAUGGACACGAUACCGAUCUUAUCAUGGAAGCUUCUCGUAAAAAUAAUUACCCCCUUGGUAUAACUUCAUCUUAUAUCUGGGAUUUGGUUUUCUUUAAUCGUGGUUCUGGCCAUAUUGUUAUUCUUUGAUUCCUUUUCUCGGACAAGUUAAAGCGCUUGUCUUCUGCAGAUCAAUGCAUCUCCGCAACCACUAUUUAGAUCUUCCUUCGAGUAUUACCCUCUGGUAUCUCGAGAAUAACAAAGAACUGUGUUGCUUCCUAUGAGUCUUCAUCUAGUAUUGCUUCUAACCGAUUUCAGAUUUCCCCGGGUUCUGAGUUAUUAGUCACUCGAGGACACCGAUAAGUGAAUCGAUUCCACGCCCCGAUUCAAUAACUCUAAGUAAUUCUCGUUGCUUACGAGUUUAAUAAUCAUUCAAGUCAUUCCUAACAUGAUCGACUAUAUUAUUAUCGUGCUAAUUUAACGAUGCUACCUGGUCCUUCUUCCCGGAGCACAUUUUUCGAUGAUGAGCUAAGCCUACGUAGAUCUUCCUCGUCAUAUCAUUUCGCCUUGAACAGCAAGCUUGAUUUCGAGUAUGUGUCAUACACGUGGUUCCAAUAAGCUUUCGCUUCAUCAUUCCUUUGACGUGAUGUCAUCGCCGAUCGAUUACAUCUUCAUGAAAUCUCUCGACAAAUGUGUCGUGAUCAUCAUCAACAUUCUGAGUUCUUCCAGGUUAUGAAUCGAAUUCAUGAUGAUAAAUACCAUCCUUGCCCUCUCGAUGAUUUGUGUUAACAUCGACAACCUUCUUGCAUAUCUACUUGCUGUCCUGUCAGGUAUAUCCUGCUCUACUUGUUCUUCUGAAGGAUAUACUCCUAAUACUUGUGUUUAAACACAUUUUCCUUUCCAUUGGAGUGUUUAAUCCGAUAAUCACAUUUUUCCUUUCCAUUGUUUUGUAUAAUCUUUCUUGUGAUCUCUAUGAUAUAAGCAGUAAUAUUUCCCGGCUUAUGUAAACACCUCGCUGUACAACUGACAGUAAGACCCUGUUACUAUUGUGGACGACAUUCCGGUAACCUCCGAUGGACGAGAACUUUGCCUAUUGGUCCGUCUCAUUCAACGAGCAGGAAAAUGGUUCUCUUCGUCCCUCGCCCUUGGUACCAACGUUGUUGCCAACAUAACUGACAGGAUAUCCUCUGCCAUGCCUUGCUACCAUGAUCGUGAAAUAUGUCGGCGUCUGUCCUACUUUUGAACCACAUGGUGGGCCCAUAACCCAUAGUUCCAUAGGAUCGAAACCCGACUCACCUGUAUAUCUUUGAUUCUGAAAUAUUCUUGGCACUCGGCUUCGUAUGUAGUACACGAGCUAACUUCCUCACCAUGUUUCAUUUCGGUAUCAGGGGCAACAUUAUUCUUCUUUGCUCUGAACCCCUUCCACCCCUUGUUUCAGGCAACAAACGAUUGUCUACUAGGUUGAAGCUUCUUAUUGCACCUCACCUUGCUCUCGAUGACUUUCUUGAAUUUCAACUCGAGAGAUGCCUCUAUGCCACGUUCACUGACAUAGUCCCCACGUACCUACCUUGUGUUGAGCUCCGUCCUUCCCGAGUCUUUCCCCUUACUCCACCUCUUAAAUCUCGGGAUGAUAUUUCUUGUAGUGGAGGAGAUUUGUAACACCCCCAGUGUCAUGCUACAGUAACCCUCUGUGAUUAAGCUAAUCAUUUUUCCAAACAAUGCUUAAUCACCUUUGGUUCAAAUCUCAUUUGAAAUUUCACUUUGGAAUCAAAUUCAAUUUGCAAGUGAAGUUUGAAGUUGCUGGAAAAAUGUUCAUCAUUUGUCAAAAAUUCCAUAACAAUUAUCUGUUAAGGAACACAACAUCACUUUUGUGCAAAGAUGAGCAUUAGCAAUUAUAACAGCACCAAUUCAGCAUUUUUAAAUGCUAUCCUAUUUAUGGAAAAUACCAAAUGAAUUCCUCUGGUCUCAAAAAUAUUUUUGGCGCUGUCUAUAAUCACCAGGGAUUUAAUGGGACACCUCCCAAAUUUUCCUAAGUGAAAUAGUUGGCCAAAUAAUUCCCUUUUUCUCUAUGUUAAUAAAUAAAAGCUAAAACAGAAAAGAAGAAAUAGUAAAGGCCUAAACGCUACUGUGGGGCUGGGCCUCUAGUUCUACAGUGCCACGGCCCAGCCCAUUUGGGGUUUUCCCCUACCUCUGUUCAUCAGAGCGCGGUGGACGCCCGUGCGACGUCCACGGCUCAGAUCGGCCACGGGGCGGCCAUCCGCCACUCUCCGACGCCUACUUGACCCUCCCGCUAACCCUAGCCUGCCCUAGUAUCCCCUCGCUCUCUCCCUCGCCCGCUUUCUUCCUCCCUCACGAGCACCCGUCGUCGCUGCCGCCAUGGCCGUGUCUUAGCACGACCACCGAGCCCCGAGUGCCUCUCCGACGAGCCCGACCGCUCCAACUACUUCCUCUACUUCCUCUCCGCCCUCUGGAUCGAGCCCGACGCCACCACAGCCUCGGGAUCGAGCUCCUCCCCGACCCCGGCCGUCGCCGCUCAUAGCCGUCGUCCACUCCGGCAAGUCCUCCCCGGGCCUUCUCAGCAACGUUGAUGACGGAGCCCAGGAGCCAGACGACGCCACUGAUGACUACUACUAGCCGGAGGAUGCCUACUACUACGUGAAGACCGCCGAUGACUAGGAGUAGUUAGGAGGCUCCCAGGCAGGAGGCCUUGCCUUUUCGACCAUUAUUGCUUUUGUGCUAGUCUUCUUAAGGAAAUCUUGUUUAACUCAUGUCUGUACUCAGAUAUUGUUGCUUCUGCUGACUCUUGUGUUUUCGAGCUUAUGUAUUCGAGCCCUCGAGGCCCCUGGCUUGUAAUAUAAAGCUUGUAUUAAUUUA